This 826-nucleotide long non-coding RNA is filed under the name Lathyrus oleraceus (garden pea). RNAcentral's name for it is "Pisum sativum (pea) long non-coding RNA (PSAT_LNC037153)". The record is from RNAcentral. Lineage: Eukaryota; Viridiplantae; Streptophyta; Magnoliopsida; Fabales; Fabaceae.
UAAAAAUAUAUAUAUAACUAAAUAAAUAUAACUAUAGAUUAUAAUUAGUAAAAUUAGAAAUAGAGAUAUUAUAACUGAACUAAAAAAUAUAAGAAGUAUCUACUAAAAUUAAAAAUAUAUAAGUAUAUACUCGGUAACAAUAUAACUUGAAGUAACAGUAUAUAUAAAAUUCACAAACAAAACUAAAAAAACGAAAAGUUUAUAUACAUGGAAAAAAACAAAAAAAACAAAAAAAAAACUAAGAAAACGAAAAGUAUAUAUAUGUAUACUCAACCGAACGUAAUAUAUAUAGAUAAAUUAAAAAGUAGAUAAACUUAAAAAGUGAAAGUACACUUAUAUAUAUAAAAUUAAAAACAAAUUUAAUAAAUAACUAAUAACAUAAACCAUAUAUAUGAGACACACAUGACAUAUAAAGCUAAUACCAUAAACAGUAUAUAUAUCAGCUAAAUUAAAAAAUAUAUAUAUAAAUCAAAAGCUAAAAGCAUAUGCAUAUAUAAAAAAGUAUAUAAAAAAAUGUAAGAAAAAGAAGGUUAGUGAUAUAUGGAGUUUAUAGUGUUGAAUUCAGAGUGUAUCAUAGAGUAUGCAGUAAAUGAAGAUAAAGUCAAUGAUGGAAGGUUUGAGUGUUUUUUUUUGAGAAAGUUUGGAGAUUAAAUUGAAAUUCCGGGACUACAGUAUCGAGAAGAAAGUGGUGAUGUUAAAAGAACUAAAAUUCUCUUCUUCCUCAAAUUUUUUCCUCUUGUUUCUUUGUUAGUUUUUUUCUAAUUUUUUGAUCUAAAAAAAAACUGAGAGAGAUGGCUUGUGGUAGUUGCCGCUGAGCAUUGGUGAU